AUCACUUUGUCAAUUUUGAAAGAGAAAGCUCAGUUCUCCUUUCAUUCUACUUGGAUGAAACUGCUGACUAUCACCCACCACUUGGAAGGAGCUGUGAUAUCAAGUCUGUUCUUACUCUGCACUCUGGAAUGGGGCCCUGCUCUCUCAUCCUGGCUCUCUGGUGAGUCUCCCCACCCCAGGCAAGAAAAUGAGGAUGCUGCUGGGAGAAAGCACCUUGAAGAUAAUUCCCUUUCAUCUACAGCUGCAGUGUUUGGCUGUUCUAAGGUUUGCAGAGCUAUAAAACAUAUGAUAAUCCCAAGGGUGGGGGAGAUACUGAAGGACAUCUCUUGAGUUUGAAGAAGAACUGAGGGCAAAGAACAGUGAAACACAGAUUAUUUAUAGAGGAUGCUUGCCAAAUCAAAGCCCAAGCUUUAAUUACAUCUUUAUACACUGUAGCCAUGUUUAAUAAAGGCUUAAAUGCAGUAUUAUUUAUCUGUUUG
This 479-nucleotide long non-coding RNA is filed under the name Parus major (Great Tit). RNAcentral describes it as "lncRNA (ENSPMJG00000011893.1)". Lineage: Eukaryota; Metazoa; Chordata; Aves; Passeriformes; Paridae. The record is from RNAcentral.